RNAcentral lists this ribosomal RNA (317 nucleotides) under uncultured eukaryote. Its description in RNAcentral is "partial 18S ribosomal RNA". It matches the Rfam family "Eukaryotic small subunit ribosomal RNA", at positions 1470 to 1796 of the family's 1831-position model. The record is from RNAcentral.
CCCUUAGAUGUUCUGGGCCGCACGCGCGCUACCCUGAUCAGUGCAACAAGCAUCCGUCCUUGGCCGACAGGCCCGGGCAAUCUUUGAACGCUGAUCGUGAUGGGGAUAGACUUUUGCAAUUUUUGGUCUUCAACGAGGAAUUCCUAGUAAACGCAAGUCAUCAACUUGCAUUGAUUACGUCCCUGCCCUUUGUACACACCGCCCGUCGCACCUACCGAUUGAAUGGUCCGGUGAAGCCUCCGGAUUGGCGUGCACCCUCGGGUGCUGCCGAGAAGUUGGCUAAACCUUACCAUUUAGAGGAAGGUGAAGUCGUAACA